RNAcentral lists this ribosomal RNA (623 nucleotides) under Colletotrichum lagenaria. Its description in RNAcentral is "eukaryotic LSU rRNA". It matches the Rfam family "Eukaryotic large subunit ribosomal RNA", at positions 1 to 648 of the family's 3401-position model. The record is from RNAcentral. Lineage: Eukaryota; Fungi; Ascomycota; Sordariomycetes; Glomerellales; Glomerellaceae.
GUUGACCUCGGAUCAGGUAGGGAUACCCGCUGAACUUAAGCAUAUCAAUAAGCGGAGGAAAAGAAACCAACAGGGAUUGCCCUAGUAACGGCGAGUGAAGCGGCAACAGCUCAAAUUUGAAAUCUGGCGCAAGCCCGAGUUGUAAUUUGUAGAGGAUGCUUCUAGGUAGCGACCGGUCUAAGUUCCUUGGAACAGGACGUCAUAGAGGGUGAGAAUCCCGUAUGUGACCGGCCCGCACCUUCUACGUAGCUCCUUCGACGAGUCGAGUUGUUUGGGAAUGCAGCUCUAAAUGGGAGGUAAAUUUCUUCUAAAGCUAAAUACCGGCCAGAGACCGAUAGCGCACAAGUAGAGUGAUCGAAAGAUGAAAAGCACUUUGGAAAGAGAGUUAAAAAGCACGUGAAAUUGUUGAAAGGGAAGCGCUCACAACCAGACUUCUGGGCGGUGUUCCGCCGGUCUUCUGACCGGUCUACUCACCGUCCCGAGGCCAACAUCAUCUGGGACCGCCGGAUAAGACCUUAGGAAUGUAGCUCCCCUCGGGGAGUGUUAUAGCCUGUGGUGAUGCGGCGCGUCUCGGGUGAGGUCCGCGCUUCGGCAAGGAUGUUGGCGUAAUGGUUGUCAGCGGC